Molecule: ribosomal RNA, 301 nt
Filed under: uncultured bacterium
Lineage: Bacteria
Description: partial 16S ribosomal RNA
Rfam family: Bacterial small subunit ribosomal RNA
Source: RNAcentral
CAGUAGCCGCGGGAACACGUAGGGUGCAAGCGUUAAUCGGAAUUACUGGGCGUAAAGCGUGCGCAGGCGGUUAUAUAAGUCAGAUGUGAAAUCCCCGGGCUCAACCUGGGAACUGCAUUUGAGACUGUAUGGCUAGAGUGUGUCAGAGGGGGGUAGAAUUCCACGUGUAGCAGUGAAAUGCGUAGAUAUGUGGAGGAAUACCGAUGGCGAAGGCAGCCCCCUGGGAUAACACUGACGCUCAUGCACGAAAGCGUGGGGAGCAAACAGGAUUAGAUACCCCCGUAGUCCCUGUCUCUUAUAC